RNAcentral lists this ribosomal RNA (399 nucleotides) under Triticum aestivum (bread wheat). RNAcentral's name for it is "partial small subunit ribosomal RNA". The record is from RNAcentral. Lineage: Eukaryota; Viridiplantae; Streptophyta; Magnoliopsida; Poales; Poaceae.
AUGGAUCUUCUCCAGUUUGUGCUCAACUUUAAAGGCACACCACCAUGGCUGAACUCGACGGCCAUUACCGCCCUUAUGGACCGUUGGAGGCCGGAGACGCACUCUUUUCACCUUGCUCUUGGUGAGAUGACCAUCACUUUGGAGGAUAUUGCGAUGAUCUCCGGUCUUCCGAUCGAGGGCAGGGCUCUUACCGGGAAGGUAAAGUCCGAGGGGUGGCGACAAAGGGUUGCAGGUUUGGUUGGUGUUGAAUCUCCCCCGUGGAUUCAUGAAACAAAGAAGGAUCCUAGGCCAUCUGGUGUUUUGUUCUCGUGGCUACAAGAACAUUUUUACGAGUCCCAGAGAAUGCUAGUCCGGCUGUUGUGGAGAGGUAUGCCAGGGCUUACUUAUGGAAUCUUUUGA